Molecule: long non-coding RNA, 2561 nt
Organism: Pan troglodytes (chimpanzee)
Lineage: Eukaryota; Metazoa; Chordata; Mammalia; Primates; Hominidae
Exons: 13
Source: RefSeq, a predicted model, not a curated record
CCGCAGAAAGGGCACUGUGAUUAGGAGCCUUUCAUGAGCUUCCAUGAACGUCUAGGGCUUGCAAACUUCAUUUUCAAAAUAAGGCUGUUGGAUUAGAUGAUUUUCCCAACCCCUAACCCUCUGUGUUAAUGAAUGGACUGACUCUAUAAUCAUGCUCCUUGGACAUUUCUAUGGAAACACUGAGCCAUCAUAAGGGAGGCCUUCAUUCUGAUGUAACAAAGCCAGCUGUGUCCACAUGAGAACAUUGGCAAGAGUGGGGACAUGGAAGCUGUGUUCAGGCCGGUCCACGCUGGGUGACCCAUGUGACCUGCUGCUUAGCAAUUCCUUGUCACCAUCUUCCCUUCUCAGCCUCUUUUUUCAUGCUAACAGGCAUAAAUGAAAUGAUGAUAAAAGUUUGAGCUCUUCUCGUGGAAUUCUUGUGAUACAGAUAUGUGCUACACGUUCAUCAUCUCGUUGGUCUUCACCAUGAUAACUGUGGAGUAAGAAUUAUAAGCAGGUCACAGAUUAGGGACUUGAGAUUGACAGUUUGGCUUCCCUGUUCUGGGUGGCAAAGCCUGUGGAGUACUCACCUACCUGCUGCAUGAAGGCAGCAUGGAGGGACUGUGGUGGAUUAUCUGCAAAGAUGGCCAAAAUUCUCUCAUCCCUGCAGGCACAUACAAGAUGCCAGAAUCAGUCAAAACUAAGCUCACUGUCCUUGCUAAUAUUCUGCCCCAGAGAAGAACUGAAGCUCAGCUAUUCACCCUACAGAAAGCCUGAAUUUUGUAAAAGUUCUGCUUAGAAUGAGGAAGAAAGAUGAAGAAUGAGGAGGAAGAAGGGAGGAACAAGAGAGAGAGGUUGUUGCAUGGCAUAAGUAAAAUGACAGCCAAAGGAUACAUGCAACUUUUCAGGGACAAAGAUCUGUGCAGCAUCGACAGUACUGCCUAAUGAGGUUUCACCAUAAUGAAGUAUUACAACCAGUUUACAGACCAGAAAACUGAGACACAGGAAGGAGUGGUGACUUGAGCAAGGUGCAUCAGCUGGUUUCCAGAAGUUCCCCAGUCAUUGAGCAUUUCUGAGGCUCUUGAUGCAUAUGCCAAGUAGUUAUGGAGAAAGACACAGCAGCUUACCUCUGCAGGCAUCAUUGUGUGAAAGGAAGACCCAGGCUCUCUCACCACCCUUCAACAGAAGCCUUUUGCUAAGGUGAUAGCUACAUGUCCAAGCCUAUUGCGUGGCAUGCAUUUUGCCUUCUGCAGCCCACUAAAGGAGUUUGCAGUUCACCCGCAAACCUCAGCGAUCCAAGCUCCCCUGGAUGACCAUCACUCACCAAGAAAAGAACAAUAACAGGACCUGUUUUGCUAAUCCAGGACUGUUCUCCAGCACUAACUCUAAAUAAUCCCUUCUGCUAGAGUCCACUUUCUGGAACCUGUUGCCUCCGUUUUCAACGUUUCCCAAACUUGGUCCGUUGUGUGAGCUGGCUGAUAAAAGUUCCAGGGAGAGGACAUCUUACUCUUAUUGGAUCAUGCACAGUGCCUGAAGCAUUCUGUUGCAUGUAGAAAGUACUGGUGGAUGUUUGUUAAUUGAUUUGUUGAAUUGUUUUUCACUGAACACAUUCCCAAGAAACAGCCAAACCCAGAGUAAGGAAACCAUCUGGCAAGAACUGCUCAAGAGAAUGCUUCUUGGCUCUCCCAUCUUAAAGUCAGUAAAUUGCAGAUGUAAGAUUCAAAACCAGACUUCACAUCUACCGACUUCAGUGACCCUGAAAUUUGUUCACAGAGAGCAUUUAACAUAACUGUCUUCAUCAUCUCCUCUACAUUAAAAAUUAUGGAGGCCUUACAAACUGGUAGAAGAUGCAUAACAGAAGAGCUUAUGAAGUUAAAGAUGACAGCAUAGCAGCACUGGUGAGAUCCUUUUAGACAUAACAUGGUAGGAAGGACUGUUUGACAAAGUGAAUGCCUGUCUUUCAGAAAAUACAGGGAGGUGUGAUGUACCCAUUAUCACAAGCAGAUGGAAUGCCUAUAGAGUCGGAUCUCAUCUACAUAUCACCUAUUAUAUGUAGUUAUUGAUGGAUAAAUACUUCAACAGCUAAAGGCAGAAAGAGAGCAGUUCACACAGACGUUAUUGGUGAUUCACUCUUGAGUCAUGAAAAGUCAACCUUGAGCCACAAAAAGUCAACCUUGAGCCAUGCAGAGUGGAGAGUCAUACAUGCCAUUCCUGGGACCAUCAAAAAUGGCAGAGGUCACACAAAAGGCAAAACUUUUAAGAGGUGUUUUAAACGUCGUAUGGGCCAAAGAGAAGCUGGAUUUCCUAUUGGAGUCAGCUGUAACACACGUGUGAUGAAAUUGGCCUGUGAGGACAAGGCAGUGAGCAGAGAGGACAGCAGUCCUUAUGAGAUCAAGCUCUAAGGUAUCCUAGAUACAUUUGGAGAAUUCACCUGAGCUACAGGAUGUGAAAAGUUGCUAAAACUGCUGUGAGAUUCUGGCUAAGAAAGUUUCAUGAGAAGUUUUACAGAAAAAUGUGAACAGAAGACAGAACUAGAUAUAAAUUUGAAUGGUAAUCUAAAUAAAAGACAUUUUUCAUUUUAA